UAAUACGGAGGGUGCAAGCGUUGCUCGGAAUUAUUGGGCGUAAAGCGCGUGUAGGCGGUUUUGCAAGUCUGGUGUGAAAUCCCGGGGCUCAACCCCGGAAGUGCAUUGGAUACUGCUUAACUAGAGGACGAGAGAGGAUGGUGGAAUUCCUGGUGUAGGGGUGAAAUCCGUAGAUAUCAGGAGGAACAUCGGUGGCGAAGGCGGCCAUCUGGCUCGUAUCUGACGCUGAGACGCGAAAGCGUGGGGAGCAAACAGGAUUAGAUACCCUGGUAGUCCACGCCCUAAACGAUGGAUACUAGUCGUCGGGACACCUAAUUGUCUCGGUGACGUAGCUAACGCGUUAAGUAUCCCGCCUGGGAAGUACGGUCGCAAGAUUA
RNAcentral lists this ribosomal RNA (377 nucleotides) under uncultured bacterium. Its description in RNAcentral is "bacterial SSU rRNA". It matches the Rfam family "Bacterial small subunit ribosomal RNA", at positions 521 to 896 of the family's 1533-position model. The record is from RNAcentral.